This 496-nucleotide ribosomal RNA is filed under the name uncultured bacterium. Its description in RNAcentral is "partial 16S ribosomal RNA". It matches the Rfam family "Bacterial small subunit ribosomal RNA", at positions 29 to 507 of the family's 1533-position model. The record is from RNAcentral.
AUGCACGCUGGCGGCGUGCCUCAUACAUGCAAGUCGAGCGAACGGACGAGAAGCUUGCUUCUCUGAUGUUAGCGGCGGACGGGUGAGUAACACGUGGAUAACCUACCUAUAAGACUGGGAUAACUUCGGGAAACCGGAACUAAUACCGGAUGAUAUUUUGAACCGCAUGGUUCAAAAGUGAAAGACGGUCUUGCUGUCACUUAUAGAUGGAUCCGCGCUGCAUUAGCUAGUUGGUAAGGUAACGGCUUACCAAGGCAACGAUGCAUAGCCGACCUGAGAGGGUGAUCGGCCACACUGGAACUGAGACACGGUCCAGACUCCUACGGGAGGCAGCAGUAGGGAAUCUUCCGCAAUGGGCGAAAGCCUGACGGAGCAACGCCGCGUGAGUGAUGAAGGUCUUCGGAUCGUAAAACUCUGUUAUUGGGGAAGAACAUACGUGUAAGUAACUGUGCACAUCUUGACGGUACCUAAUCAGAAAGCCACGGCUAACUACGUG